CGACCGGCGCACGGGUGAGUAACGCGUAUCCAACCUGCCUUACACUCUUGGACAGCCUUCUGAAAGGGAGAUUAAUACAAGAUGUUAUCAUGAGUAAGCAUUUUCGCAUGAUUAAAGGUUUACCGGUGUACGAUGGGGAUGCGUUCCAUUAGAUAGUAGGCGGGGUAACGGCCCACCUAGUCUUCGAUGGAUAGGGGUUCUGAGAGGAAGGUCCCCCACAUUGGAACUGAGACACGGUCCAA
This 242-nucleotide ribosomal RNA is filed under the name uncultured bacterium. RNAcentral's name for it is "partial 16S ribosomal RNA". It matches the Rfam family "Bacterial small subunit ribosomal RNA", at positions 92 to 334 of the family's 1533-position model. The record is from RNAcentral.